AAUUAAACCCGAUUGGAGCGGGAAGCUCCCGAUUUUAUCGGGACUAAAGUGAAAAGCGGGGCUGCAG
RNAcentral lists this unclassified non-coding RNA (67 nucleotides) under Pedobacter xixiisoli. RNAcentral describes it as "Flavo-1 RNA". The record is from RNAcentral. Lineage: Bacteria; Pseudomonadati; Bacteroidota; Sphingobacteriia; Sphingobacteriales; Sphingobacteriaceae.